UUGACAACUUACCCUCAGGACGGGGACAACUACGGGAAACUGUGGCUAAUCCCCGAUAGACGGCGAUGCCUGGAAUGGUUCGUCGUCCAAAGUCAUCUCUGCAUGUAGAGUGCGCGCCUGAGGAUGGGUCAGCGGCUGAUUAGGUUGUUGGUGGGGUAACGGCCCACCAAGCCAGCGAUCAGUACCGGCCGUGAAAGCGGGAACCGGGAGAUGGGCACUGAGACAAAGGCCCAGGCCCUACGGGGCGCAGCAAUCGCGAAACCUCUGCAAUCCGGGCAACCGGGACAGGGUUAUCCCUAGUGCCAUGCUAUCGCGUGGCUUUUGCCGACAGUAGGAACGUCGGAGAAUAAGGGGAGGGCAAGGCUGGUGCCAGCCGCCGCGGUAAAACCAGCUCCUCAAGUGGUCGGGAUGUUUAUUGGGCCUAAAGCAUUCGUAGCCGGCCCUGCAAGUUCUUGGUCAAAUCCAACCGCUCAACGGUUGGGCUGCUGAGAAUACUACAGGGCUUGGGAGCGGGAGAGGCCGAGGGUACUCCUAGGGUAGGGGUGAAAUCCUGUGAUCCUAGGGGACCACCAGUGGCGAAAGCGCUCGGCUGGGAACGCGUCCGACGGUGAUGGAUGAAAGCCAGGGGA
RNAcentral lists this ribosomal RNA (629 nucleotides) under uncultured archaeon. RNAcentral describes it as "bacterial SSU rRNA". It matches the Rfam family "Archaeal small subunit ribosomal RNA", at positions 101 to 718 of the family's 1478-position model. The record is from RNAcentral.